Long non-coding RNA from Cairina moschata (Muscovy duck), 2603 nucleotides. The record is from Ensembl. NCBI's taxonomy places the organism in Eukaryota, Metazoa, Chordata, Aves, Anseriformes, Anatidae.
CCUCCUGGCGUCCCCGGCUGCCGCUCCUCCGCCUCGCUGCUCAUAAAAGAGAGGGGGGCCGCGAGCAGGAGCCGCGGCCGCACGCCCGCCGGCGGCCCCUGCCGCCGCAGCUCCGCGGACGCGGGCACCGGGCACCGGGCACAGCCCGCCUGCCUGCCGCCGUCCGCAACCAGCGGCGCCUGCAAACGCCCCCCUCCGCUGCCACCGAGAAGCCGAGGGUGGCUGGGACGGCGGGAGGAGAGCCUCACUCGUGUCAAUAUGACAACCUUCCUGCCUGCUGUCUCUCUCUCUCUCUCCCCCUCCACCCUCCUCCUCCUCCACCUCCUCCUUCCUCCCCUGGUGUUCCAGGGAUGUUAAUCUCCUAAUGACACAAAAAUACCAUCCAAAGGUUUGAAAUCAAGCGGGGGGAGGGGUGGCAGAGGGGGGGAAGGGCAGAGGGUGCGUGGAAUAAUCAACAGGCGGGUCUCCCUUUAGAUACAGCUACGUGGAGGAGCAAGAGCUGCGGAGAGUGGGUGCUAAACGGGCUCCCGGGGGUGGGCAACACUGAAAAAAAAAAUAAAUUAAAAUAAAAAAAAGGCGGAUUAAAAAUGAAACCCAGCCAGGAGACCAGGCUAAACGCAGGAAAAGUGGGGCAGCGCUGCCGGAGAGAAAGCAGAAGGCAGGAGGGAAAGGCAGGGCGAUCCUCUUCGCACGUCCGAGAGCAUCUCACCGGAGCUGGGGAGCGUGAGGCGCCUGCGCGCCGCUCGCCCGGGGAGCCGGGCACGGCCCCCGCCGGGCAUCCGCGGCAGGGGAGCUGCGGGGGGGACCGCCCGCGCCCUGCGCAGCGCCGAGCACCCGCACCCGCGGGGCGCCGAGGGGCAAAUACUUCACCUUACCCUGCAUAGUGAAGAACACAUUUUUUUUACCACCUGAUGGCACAAAUAUAAAGAAGGAACCUUGGAACCUGUGUCUGAAACAAGAACAUAAUUACAGCAAAUAACCACCUAUAAAACUGCUGGAGUACAUUUGACACAGUGCUACGUUUUCCAACUAAAUUUACCUGCUGCAGAUAGCAGUAGACUGGUUCAGGUUUUGUGAACUAUGAACAACACUUUGUGGGCUAUACUGCACUUCUAGCUCAUUUCUAAGGAAAAUAUGUGGUUGGUUUUGAUAUAUAAUGCCCUCAAAGUUCUGGAUAUUGGCCAGAUCCAAGCCAGCUCUUCCUGUUGAACAUCCUUGUAUUUGUAACCAGAGACCACAAUGGAAAUAAAUGUAGUAUUGACUGGAAAGGGUGAUUAAAGUACAGAUUUAUCACCUCUUGUGUUGCAAAACCUAUCUGUUCAGCUUUUUCCUGAGAAGCAAGCUGACUUGGUUAUUUGGGUCAAUGGAAGUAGAAAUCUUUUCUUCAUGGAGAGUUGGGCAGUGUAUGGAUCUAGAUCAGACUGAGAAGUCUCUGUUUCGCUGGACCUUAGGAGCAGUCUUGAAUUAGAGGUCUACUCAGAAUUUCAGAAUGUCUAUUGUUAUUUAUUUUGUGCAUAUAGCUUAUCUAUUUAAUAAAGAUUUAUUUUUCACUGUCUAUUCUGUUUUACCGUAUUAAACCCUGUACUUUUUUUUUUUUUUCUUCUUCUCACAUCCCACAAUUUCAGGCAGCCACUGCUUGAUGCAUUGGCUGGAGAUCACCUUUGGAAGCAAUAUUUUUUAUAGAACUAGAGCUUUUCAGAUUCAUGGCAAAUUUAGAAUUAAGAAGGUCAAUGUUUAACAUCACUAGAUUUUUUGUCUUGGGUUAUUUUUUUUCUGUGUAAGGAUUGCAAAGAUCUUCAUCUUUUAUCCAUAGUUAGUGCUGCUUACUUGUAACAGAAUGACAUGAUCUAUCAUCUAAGACAGGGAUAUAUAUAUUUUUUUUUCCUUCUCACCCCCUCUGACAGUAAAAGUAAGGACUCUGCAUAAAUCUAUAGAGAAAUUUCUGCAGACUCAUUCUAGCGGGCACAGCUUAUUAAUGCCACCACACAAAAAAAAAGAGAUGUGCCUAGCAAGAGAAAAGCAGUGAUAUGGGCAGAACAGAAGAGGUCCUGCAGAAAAUGGUAGGAAAGGCCAGGCUUAAAUGUAGAGAUUCAACAUAGUUUUUUCCUCCUCUCAUGGAUCUUUGAAAUAUAUUCAUUGUUCUUUCUAGAUUUUGAGGAAAGUUUGGGAAAAAAUAAGUGAAAGUUUAUUUUCCAAAACAUUGAGAUUUUUUUUUGGAAUCAGCAUCCACACUCUCAUUCCUAAUCCAAGAAAUACAGAUUAGAUUUCCAUACGGCUACUGAAAUACUGCUUGAAUGGAUUUCAUGAGCAUCAUAAUAACUAUUCCUUUUUUUUUUUUUUUUUAUGAUUUUAAAGUUUGAUUUCCAUUUUAUGAAUUCUAAUGGAAAACAAAUGAACCAGGUAUUUCUGAUUCAUACCACUUCUACAGAUACACAACUUGAGCUAUAAGUUUGAAUUUAUCUCAACAGAGUGUUUCUAGAGCUGAAAUAUAAUGUCCCCAGUCACAAUAAGCAAAAAACUUAAAACACCUACAAAUUUCACAUUUAGGAAACAGUGCUCGACCCAAACAGUGUACUCCAAAUAAAUUACUUACUGUUUUAGAU